Unclassified non-coding RNA from Callithrix jacchus (white-tufted-ear marmoset), 284 nucleotides. It matches the Rfam family "Metazoan signal recognition particle RNA". From Rfam's summary of the family: The signal recognition particle (SRP) is a universally conserved ribonucleoprotein. It is involved in the co-translational targeting of proteins to membranes. The eukaryotic SRP consists of a 300-nucleotide 7S RNA and six proteins: SRPs 72, 68, 54, 19, 14, and 9. Lineage: Eukaryota; Metazoa; Chordata; Mammalia; Primates; Cebidae. The record is from Ensembl.
GCUGGGCAUGGUAUCGCGCCCCUGUAGUCCCAGCUACUCGGGAGGCUGAGGUGGGAGGAUCGGCCCAGGACUUCUGGGCUAUGUCGAUCAGGUGUCCGCACUAAGUUUGGCAUCAAUAUGGUGACCUCCCGGGAGCGGGGCACCACCAGCUUGCGUAAGGAGGAGUGAUCCGGCCCAGGUCGGAAACGGAGCAGGUCAAAACUCCCAUGCUGAUCAGUAGUGGGAUCAUGCCUGUGAAUAGCCACUGCACUCCAGCCCGGCAGCAUAGCAAGACCAUGUCUCUU